This is a non-coding RNA of Parelaphostrongylus tenuis, 73 nucleotides long. The record is from the annotation of a GenBank genome assembly. Lineage: Eukaryota; Metazoa; Nematoda; Chromadorea; Rhabditida; Metastrongylidae.
GACAUGGGUGGUAUAGUGGUAGCACGCGUCCUCGUUAUGGAUGAAACACAGGUUCAACUCCUGUCUGAGGUCG